This 463-nucleotide ribosomal RNA is filed under the name uncultured bacterium. RNAcentral describes it as "partial 16S ribosomal RNA". It matches the Rfam family "Bacterial small subunit ribosomal RNA", at positions 32 to 523 of the family's 1533-position model. The record is from RNAcentral.
AAUCAACGCUGGCGGCGUGCCUAACACAUGCAAGUCGCACGAGAAAGGGUCUUCGGAUCUGAGUAAAGUGGCGCACGGGUGAGUAACACGUGAAUUAUCUACCUUCGAGUGGGGAAUAACUUCGGGAAACCGAGGCUAAUACCGCAUAAUAUCUACGGAUAAAAGCAGUAAUGCGCUUGAAGAGGAGUUCGCGGCAGAUUAGUUAGGUGGCGGGGUAAUGGCCCACCAAGACGAUGAUCUGUAUCCGGCCUGAGAGGGCGCACGGACACACUGGAACUGAAACACGGUCCAGACUCCUACGGGAGGCAGCAGUGGGGAAUUUUGCGCAAUGGGGGAAACCCUGACGCAGCAACGCCGCGUGGAGGUUGAAGUCUCUUGGGACGUAAACUCCUUUCGAUAGGGAAGAUUAUGACGGUACCUAUAGAAGAAGCCCCGGCUAACUUCGUGCCAGCCGCCGCGGUAA